Homarus americanus (American lobster) is the source of this 239-nucleotide long non-coding RNA. RefSeq lists it as uncharacterized. The record is from RefSeq and is a predicted model, not a curated record. The transcript has 2 exons. NCBI's taxonomy places the organism in Eukaryota, Metazoa, Arthropoda, Malacostraca, Decapoda, Nephropidae.
CUAGUGCAUACGUCGUCGUGGAGGGAAGAUAUACGUAUCUACGUCUCCGCGUUUCCACCAUUGUAAAAACACAAAAUGCUUGUCGCUCUAUCUAAACCUUCAAAAGAGAGUUUAAUAUCCUAAGACAACACUGAACAAACAGUAUUUUUCUAAAUUAUUUUAUAUUUUUGACAAGAACAUAGAAAAACGCAUCUAUAAAUGAAGAAACAUUAUGGGAGGAAAUAGUAGUAAUGAAUAUA